GAAAUGCGAUAAGUAGUGUGAAUUGCAGAAUUCAGUGAAUCAUCGAAUCUUUGAACGCACAUUGCGCCCCUUGGUAUUCCUUGGGGCAUGCCUGUUCGAGCGUCAUUUGUACCCUCAAGCUCUGCUUGGUGUUGGGUGUUUGUCCCGUCUCCGCGCGUGGACUCGCCCCAAAGUGAUUGGCAGCCGGCGUACUGGUCCCGGAGCGCAGCACAUGUCGCGCAAACGAGUGCCUUGGUACGGCGGCGUCCAUAAGCCCCUCUCUCACGCUCUUGACCUCGGAUCGGGUAGGGAUACCCGCUGAACUUAAGC
This 309-nucleotide unclassified non-coding RNA is filed under the name plant metagenome. RNAcentral describes it as "partial contains 5.8S ribosomal RNA, internal transcribed spacer 2, and large subunit ribosomal RNA". The stretch from base 1 to 105 matches the Rfam family "5.8S ribosomal RNA", at positions 50 to 154 of the family's 154-position model. The record is from RNAcentral.